AGACAACAAAAUGUUUAAUAUUAUUAUUUUGUCACCUUAGGUCGAUCGGUAUCUCACGUUCUUAAUUUAUUAAGAAUUUCAUUUCCUAAGUUUUUCUAGGUCACACCCAUUAUUUUUCCUGGGCCAUUAGCUCAGGUGGUUAGAGCGCACCCCUGAUAAGGGUGAGGUCCCUGGUUCAAGUCCAGGAUGGCCCAUAUCUCUAUGUUGGGGGUAUAGCUCAGUUGGUAGAGCGCCUGCUUUGCAAGCAGGAUGUCAGCGGUUCGAGUCCGCUUACCUCCACUGAUUACCACCUCUUCCAUAACUGGUAGAAAGGAAAAGUUUUGAGUUGUGAUCAUUAUUCUGAACGAAUCUAGCUUCCUAAUGAAAUCAUUAAGAUGCUGGACUCAUUGAAUUAAUUUCAUUGUUUUCAGAGAACCUUGACAACUGCAUAGAUUUUUUUAAAGACAAUAAGCAUCUUUAAUGAUGCAGAUUUAUUAUUUGUGCGAAUGCAUUAAUAACAAUUCUAUUAAGCUGAUGCUUCAAUUUUUGAAGUUAUU
This 536-nucleotide transfer RNA is filed under the name uncultured cyanobacterium. RNAcentral describes it as "partial 16S-23S intergenic spacer". The stretch from base 207 to 279 matches the Rfam family "tRNA". The record is from RNAcentral. Lineage: Bacteria; Bacillati; Cyanobacteriota.